This 64-nucleotide transfer RNA is filed under the name Cucujoidea sp. 4 KM-2017. RNAcentral's name for it is "tRNA-Pro". Lineage: Eukaryota; Metazoa; Arthropoda; Insecta; Coleoptera. The record is from RNAcentral.
CAGAAAAUAGUUUUUAAAAAUAUUAAUUUUGGAGAUUAAAGAUAAAGGGUACCUUUUUUUCUGA